Long non-coding RNA from Galeopterus variegatus (Sunda flying lemur), 296 nucleotides. RefSeq lists it as uncharacterized. The record is from RefSeq and is a predicted model, not a curated record. NCBI's taxonomy places the organism in Eukaryota, Metazoa, Chordata, Mammalia, Dermoptera, Cynocephalidae. The transcript is spliced from 2 exons.
AAGUUGCUCCAGGGCAAAAUUUGUCUCCCUAAUACUUUCCUUCAUCUUUCUCAGAUACACUCUGCAAGGACUCUGUCCUCCAGAAGGGGAGCAUCAAGGAGCAGGAAAUGGAAGCUGACCCACUAACAGGCAGACACCAGGAAUCCGUGACAUUGAAAGAUGUGGUUGUGGAAUUCAGUGAGGAAGAGUGGAGGCAACUGGAUCCUGCUGUAAAGAACCUGUAUAGGAAUGUGAUGCUGGAGAACUAUAGGAACCUGAAUUCAUUGCAUAAAGGUGACUUCUGUGUAUUUACUUAA